UCUGGACUUUGGAGAUGAGCCCUACACAACAACGUGGUCUCUGAACAGCUACACCAGCCUGUGGAGCCCAGGCCUUCCCACCCGGAGGAACCGCUAUUCCUCAGGAGAACUCCAAAGUUCUGAAGCAAAUCUUUCUCCGGAUUCGAGAUGUGACCAGCUACUUUAUCCUGAGCCCAGGAACCUAUGCCAUUGUUCCUGCUGCCACAGAGGACCAGGAAUUCAAAUUUCUCUUACGAAUUUUCAUAAAGAAUCAAGACUACCAUGAGUAAGAUCAUACACACUCCUUAAAGGCCCCAGACUCACAGUGGGCCAG
RNAcentral lists this long non-coding RNA (313 nucleotides) under Chloebia gouldiae (Gouldian finch). Its description in RNAcentral is "Erythrura gouldiae (Gouldian finch) lncRNA (ENSEGOG00005002863.1)". Lineage: Eukaryota; Metazoa; Chordata; Aves; Passeriformes; Passeridae. The record is from RNAcentral.